CUAUAGACCACAAGUUCCCACUCUACAAGGAAGAGAAGUAUCAAAUAACCAUAAAAGAAGAAGAUUGGCAACGUAGCAAUAGCAACAUUGGUGUGAAACGUCAUUACAAGUGUGAAACUUUCAAGGAUCACUCACAAGUAAUUCAAGUUGUUGAAUGUUCUCCAAGUGCAGCUGGUAUCUGAAGAUUCUAGGAGACAAUCAAUGUACGAGACAAACUUUGGCUAGGAAGUCCUCUGUUUCAUUAAGAAAACAAGACAAUCUCAGAAAUCUGUCUAUCUUGUUUCUCUUUUUGUCUUGUGUAAUAUAACAGAUGGAUUGAUUUUGAUCUACGCCGAUAUCCUUCAACGAGAUUUGUAAAUCAUUGUUAGAAUCAAAUUGCUUUAUCAUAACACACACCAAAAUUCAAAGAAAUUUUUAUGACGUAUAAACCUUGCUGGGCUAUUGGAGAAGAGAAGAAACUCCAUAGAUGGAGACCAAAAAUCAAAACAAGAGAUCAAUGAUUCUCAUUACCAUUGGAGUAGCAGAAAACGAAAGACCUGAUAAUUAAUUUAAGUUAUGUGAUUUUGAUGUUGAGAGAGACGCCGAUUUGUGUCACGUACAAGGAAAAUUCGAUUUGCAGAGAAA
Molecule: long non-coding RNA, 624 nt
Filed under: Arabidopsis lyrata
Lineage: Eukaryota; Viridiplantae; Streptophyta; Magnoliopsida; Brassicales; Brassicaceae
Description: long non-coding RNA (ALYR_LNC002742)
Source: RNAcentral